Molecule: ribosomal RNA, 1343 nt
Filed under: uncultured bacterium
Lineage: Bacteria
Description: 16S ribosomal RNA
Rfam family: Bacterial small subunit ribosomal RNA
Source: RNAcentral
GACGAACGCUGGCGGCGUGCUUAACACAUGCAAGUCGAACGGAAAGGCCCUGCUUUUGUGGGGUGCUCGAGUGGCGAACGGGUGAGUAACACGUGAGUAACCUGCCCUUGACUUUGGGAUAACUUCAAGAAACUGGGGCUAAUACCGGAUAGGAGCUCCUGCUGCAUGGUGGGGGUUGGAAAGUUUCGGCGGUUGGGGAUGGACUCGCGGCUUAUCAGCUUGUUGGUGGGGUAGUGGCUUACCAAGGCUUUGACGGGUAGCCGGCCUGAGAGGGUGACCGGCCACAUUGGGACUGAGAUACGGCCCAGACUCCUACGGGAGGCAGCAGUGGGGAAUAUUGCACAAUGGGCGGAAGCCUGAUGCAGCAACGCCGCGUGCGGGAUGACGGCCUUCGGGUUGUAAACCGCUUUCGCCUGUGACGAAGCGUGAGUGACGGUAAUGGGUAAAGAAGCACCGGCUAACUACGUGCCAGCAGCCGCGGUGAUACGUAGGGUGCGAGCGUUGUCCGGAUUUAUUGGGCGUAAGGGGCUCGUAGGUGGUUGAUCGCGUCGGAAGUGUAAUCUUGGGGCUUAACCCUGAGCGUGCUUUCGAUACGGGUUGACUUGAGGAAGGUAGGGGAGAAUGGAAUUCCUGGUGGAGCGGUGGAAUGCGCAGAUAUCAGGAGGAACACCAGUGGCGAAGGCGGUUCUCUGGGCCUUUCCUGACGCUGAGGAGCGAAAGCGUGGGGAGCGAACAGGCUUAGAUACCCUGGUAGUCCACGCUGUAAACGGUGGGUACUAGGUGUGGGGUCCAUUCCACGGGUUCCGUGCCGUAGCUAACGCUUUAAGUACCCCGCCUGGGGAGUACGGCCGCAAGGCUAAAACUCAAAGGAAUUGACGGGGCCCCGCACAAGCGGCGGAGCAUGCGGAUUAAUUCGAUGCAACGCGUAGAACCUUACCUGGGUUUGACAUGGAUCGGGAGUGCUCAGAGAUGGGUGUGCCUCUUUUGGGGUCGGUUCACAGGUGGUGCAUGGCUGUCGUCAGCUCGUGUCGUGAGAUGUUGGGUUAAGUCCCGCAACGAGCGCAACCCUUGUUCACUGUUGCCAGCACGUUAUGGUGGGGACUCAGUGGAGACCGCCGGGGUCAACUCGGAGGAAGGUGGGGAUGACGUCAAGUCAUCAUGCCCCUUAUGUCCAGGGCUUCACGCAUGCUACAAUGGCUGGUACAGAGAGUGGCGAGCCUGUGAGGGUGAGCGAAUCUCGGAAAGCCGGUCUCAGUUCGGAUUGGGGUCUGCAACUCGACCUCAUGAAGUCGGAGUCGCUAGUAAUCGCAGAUCAGCAACGCUGCGGUGAAUACGUUCCCGGG